Long non-coding RNA from Hyaena hyaena (striped hyena), 1281 nucleotides. RefSeq lists it as uncharacterized. The record is from RefSeq and is a predicted model, not a curated record. Lineage: Eukaryota; Metazoa; Chordata; Mammalia; Carnivora; Hyaenidae. The transcript has 2 exons.
GUCCCAUUGUGCAAGCCGGUCAUGAGCCAUAAAGGACAACCUAGGGAAGCAGAGUGAGAAAUCAAGCAAAGCAGGACAGCAGGGAAGGUGUUUUCUGGACAGCUGGAAUCAUGAACAGCUUGCAACUCUAGUACCUGAUGUGUAAAAGGCACGUAAUCAAUACCAAAUAUUUGGUAUUUGGCUCCAGUUUUGAGGCUGACUUCUAAAUGGCAAGGAUUGCCUUCCACCGGGACAGGGAAGCCAUCAUGAUAUAAAGGCUCAAAGCUCCCGCAAGAUGUUGAUUUCUAACCAUCAUAUGAUAGUUACAAGCGGGUCCAUUCAGGGUGCCCACUAGAGUAAGAAGGCUUAUCCAAGUGAGGAGGGCUAGCUGAGGAGGGGGUCAUAAAGGGGGUGGAGAACCCAGCAGUACCCUCGGGCUACCAACAGGAAGGGGCCCUUGCCUCCUCCAGGGCCUGAAAAGGCAGCAGGAAGUGACCUUGCCAGAGCUGUAGGAGAGGGCCGUCCCAUAGGAGCUGUGGCUUCAGUAGAGACGCACAGCCAUGGCUACGCCCAGCAGGCCAAGGAGGCAACCCCUCAUCUUUACUCUCCCUCAGACUCCCGUCUCCAGCCCCUGCUCCCUCUUGGCUAAAGGCAGCAAAAAGCACGGUGUCACAGGAGCCAGUAAGUGCAGUCCCCACGGGUCCUGGGCACAGAGCAGGACGGAGAACGCGGAGAACGGAUCGGCAAGGGCAAAUGGAAUAUUCUACACACUCAAGACGUCCAAGCAGCUCACACCGGGUGCAUCGACAGACCCCGUUUCUUGAACAGCGUCCAAUCCCUGCUGGUUAUUUAUGUCACUACCCUUUCGCAAGAACCACAUAAAAUAUUUUACAUGCUUUUAAAACUCAUAAAUGUAAUGAAGCCAAGAUGUUUCAGCAAAUGUGCUUGACAGACAAAUCCUGCCGAAGAUCCGCUCUUAGCUGAUGUCAGGACCAAAGGCAAUCUCCUGACCUGCGGGAACAUUUGACAUGGAAACCAAUAAAUUCAUCCCCUGCCCGCAUGGAUGUCAGGCUGUCACUGCAUCUUGAGAAUGUAUCUGUUCCUUGUUCGCUUCCUGCCGUCCCUGCCUUGCAAGUAUUUACUGCUCUUUCAACACUGAACUUGGCCAGUUGGAAAUGUAUCAGUUUGCAAAUGCAUCAGUUUGCAAAUGCAAAGAGAGAUCCCUGCGCUUCGUCCGGGCGUUAAUGUGCACAGCCUCCAACACGAGCUGCCUGAGAUUAAUAAAAAUGCGUGUGCCCCAAA